Molecule: ribosomal RNA, 497 nt
Filed under: uncultured bacterium
Lineage: Bacteria
Description: partial 16S ribosomal RNA
Rfam family: Bacterial small subunit ribosomal RNA
Source: RNAcentral
GAUGAACGCUGGCGGCGUGCCUAAUACAUGCAAGUCGAGCGAACAGACGAGGAGCUUGCUCCUCUGACGUUAGCGGCGGACGGGUGAGUAACACGUGGAUAACCUACCUAUAAGACUGGGAUAACUUCGGGAAACCGGAGCUAGUACCGGAUAAUAUAUUGAACCGCAUGGUUCAAUAGUGAAAGACGGUUUUGCUGUCACUUAUAGAUGGAUCCGCGCCGCAUUAGCUAGUUGGUAAGGUAACGGCUUACCAAGGCAACGAUGCGUGGCCGACCUGAGAGGGUGAUCGGCCACACUGGAACUGAGACACGGUCCAGACUCCUACGGGAGGCAGCAGUAGGGAAUCUUCCGCAAUGGGCGAAAGCCUGACGGAGCAACGCCGCGUGAGUGAUGAAGGUCUUCGGAUCGUAAAACUCUGUUAUUAGGGAAGAACAAAUGUGUAAGUAACUAUGCACGUCUUGACGGUACCUAAUCAGAAAGCCACGGCUAACUACGUG